GGGGAAUCUUGCGCAAUGGGGGCAACCCUGACGCAGCGACGCCGCGUGCGGGACGAAGGCCUUCGGGUCGUAAACCGCUUUCAGCAGGGACGAGGCCGCAAGGUGACGGUACCUGCAGAAGAAGCCCCGGCUAACUACGUGCCAGCAGCCGCGGUAAUACGUAGGGGGCGAGCGUUAUCCGGAUUCAUUGGGCGUAAAGCGCGCGUAGGCGGCCUGUUAGGUCGGUAGUCAAAUCCGGGGGCUCAACCCCCGUCCGCUUCCGAUACCGGCAGGCUUGAGUCUGGUAGGGGAAGGUGGAAUUCCCAGUGUAGCGGUGGAAUGCGCAGAUAUUGGGAAGAACACCGGUGGCGAAGGCGGCCUUCUGGGCCACGACUGACGCUGAGGCGCGAAAGCUAGGGGAGCGAAC
RNAcentral lists this ribosomal RNA (406 nucleotides) under uncultured bacterium. Its description in RNAcentral is "bacterial SSU rRNA". It matches the Rfam family "Bacterial small subunit ribosomal RNA", at positions 356 to 773 of the family's 1533-position model. The record is from RNAcentral.